ACUCAAAGGAAUUGACGGGGGCCCGCACAAGCGGUGGAGCAUGCGGUUUAAUUCGAUGCAACGCGAAGAACCUUACCUACUCUUGACAUCCAUGGAACCUGACCGAGAGGUCGGGGUGCCUUCGGGAACCGUGAGACAGGUGCUGCAUGGCUGUCGUCAGCUCGUGUCGUGAGAUGUUGGGUUAAGUCCCGUAACGAGCGCAACCCUUGCCCUUAGUUGCCAACAGGUAAAGCUGGGAACUCUAGGGGGACUGCCGGUGAUAAACUGGAGGAAGGCGGGGACGAUGUCAAGUCAUCAUGGCCCUUACGAGUAGGGCUACACGCGUGCUACAAUGGUUGGUACAAAGGGAUGCAGAGCCGCGAGGUGAAGCGUAUCCCAUCAAAGCCAAUCGCAGUCCGGAUCGGAGUCUGCAACUCGACUCCGUGAAGUUGGAAUCGCUAGUAAUCGUAGAUCAGAACGCUACGGUGAAUACGUUCCCGGGCCUUGUACACACCGCCCGU
This 500-nucleotide ribosomal RNA is filed under the name uncultured bacterium. RNAcentral describes it as "partial 16S ribosomal RNA". It matches the Rfam family "Bacterial small subunit ribosomal RNA", at positions 899 to 1397 of the family's 1533-position model. The record is from RNAcentral.